Molecule: ribosomal RNA, 944 nt
Filed under: uncultured organism
Description: bacterial SSU rRNA
Rfam family: Bacterial small subunit ribosomal RNA
Source: RNAcentral
CUCAGGACGAACGCUGGCGGCGUGCCUAAGCUUAUGCAAGUCGAACGCGAACGGCUCCUUCGGGAGCCUAGUAGAGUGGCAAACGGGUGAGUAACGCGUGGGUAACGUACCCUGAUCCUGGGAAUAACCCUCGGAAACGAGGGCUAAUACCGAAUGUGGCGAACGACCGGUUGGUCGCUCGCUAAAGGUGGCCUCUUCUAUGCUGCCGGGUUGGGAUCGGCCCGCGUCCCAUUAGCUAGUUGGUGAGGUAACGGCUCACCAAGGCCACGAUGGGUAGCCGGCCUGAGAGGGUGUACGGCCACACUGGCACUGAGACAAGGGCCAGUCCCCUAUGGGAGGCGCAGGCGGGAAUAGUUCACAAUGGGCGAAAGCCUGAUGACGCGACGCCGCGUGAGCGAAGAAGACCUUCGGGUUGUAAAGCUCUGUCAGGAGGGAAGAAGGCUCUACGGGUCAAUAGCCCGUGGGAUUGACGGUACCUCCAGAGGAAGCCCCGGCUAAAUACGUGCCAGCAGCCGCGGUAAUACGUAUGGGGCAAGCGUUGUCCGGAUUUACUGGGCGUAAAGGGCGCGUAGGCGGUUUGUUAAGUCGAAGGUGAAAUCCUCGGGCUCAACUCGAGAAUUGCCUUCGAUACUGGCAAACUAGAGUGGCGGAGAGGAAAGCGGAACUCUUGGUGUAACGGUGGAAUGUGUAGAUAUCAAGAGGAACACCGGUGGCGAAGGCGGCUUUCUGGACGCACACUGACGCUCAGGCGCGAAAGCGUGGGUAGCAAACAGGAUUAGAUACCCUGGUAGUCCACGCCAUAAACGAUGGGUACUAGGUGUCGGGGGUAUCGACCCCUCCGGUGCCGCAGUUAACGCACUAAGUACCCCGNCUGGGGAUUAUGGUCGCAAGGCUGAAACUCAAAGGAAUUGACGGGGCCCCGGACAAGCGGUGGAGCAUGUGGU